Molecule: ribosomal RNA, 301 nt
Filed under: uncultured bacterium
Lineage: Bacteria
Description: partial 16S ribosomal RNA
Rfam family: Bacterial small subunit ribosomal RNA
Source: RNAcentral
CAGCCGCCGCGGUAAUACGGAGGGGGCUAGCGUUGUUCGGAAUUACUGGGCGUAAAGCGCACGUAGGCGGCUGUGUAAGUCAGAGGUGAAAGCCCGGGGCUCAACCCCGGAAUAGCCUUUGAGACUGCAUAGCUUGAACACGGGAGAGGUGAGUGGAAUUCCGAGUGUAGAGGUGAAAUUCGUAGAUAUUCGGAAGAACACCAGUGGCGAAGGCGACUAUCUGGGCCAACACUGACACUGAGGCACGAAAGCGUGGGGAGCAAACAGGAUUAGAUACCCGUGUAGUCCCUGUCUCUUAUAC